Molecule: long non-coding RNA, 292 nt
Filed under: Sorghum bicolor (sorghum)
Lineage: Eukaryota; Viridiplantae; Streptophyta; Magnoliopsida; Poales; Poaceae
Description: long non-coding RNA (SBIC_LNC015345)
Source: RNAcentral
GCAAAAUUUCAGUUUUAUCAUCUCUCUCAAUCAGUUUUAUCAUCUCUCUCUCAAUCAGCCUAUAGACUGUAGUUGCAAUAUGGACACGUACGCACCUAUCUCCUUUGCGUUUCUAAAGAACUUUUUGCAAUUACAAGCAUAUUAAUCAAAUUAUUUUUGAUAACAUGCUAACCCAGAACACACGAGUCAUCGUAAACAAGAUUAUCAACGUCAUGUACAUUUCAGACCAUUGAAUGAGACGUGGGAAGGAUCAUCAUAAGGGACAAUCAAGAGGGCACGGCAACACGGCGCC